AACUCUGGUAUUGAUUGGUGCUUGCAUCAUGAUUUACAUUUGAGUGAGUGGCGAACUGGUGAGUAACACGUGGGAAACCUGCCCAGAAGCGGGGGAUAACACCUGGAAACAGAUGCUAAUACCGCAUAACAACUUGGACCGCAUGGUCCGAGCUUGAAAGAUGGCUUCGGCUAUCACUUUUGGAUGGUCCCGCGGCGUAUUAGCUAGAUGGUGGGGUAACGGCUCACCAUGGCAAUGAUACGUAGCCGACCUGAGAGGGUAAUCGGCCACAUUGGGACUGAGACACGGCCCAAACUCCUACGGGAGGCAGCAGUAGGGAAUCUUCCACAAUGGACGAAAGUCUGAUGGAGCAACGCCGCGUGAGUGAAGAAGGGUUUCGGCUCGUAAAACUCUGUUGUUAAAGAAGAACAUAUCUGAGAGUAACUGUUCAGGUAUUGACGGUAUUUAACCAGAAAGCCACGGCUAACUACGUGCCAGCAGCCGCGGUAAUACGUAGGUGGCAAGCGUUGUCCGGAUUUAUUGGGCGUAAAGCGAGCGCAGGCGGUUUUUUAAGUCUGAUGUGAAAGCCUUCGGCUCAACCGAAGAAGUGCAUCGGAAACUGGGAAACUUGAGUGCAGAAGAGGACAGUGGAACUCCAUGUGUAGCGGUGAAAUGCGUAGAUAUAUGGAAGAACACCAGUGGCGAAGGCGGCUGUCUGGUCUGUAACUGACGCUGAGGCUCGAAAGUAUGGGUAGCAAACAGGAUUAGAUACCCUGGUAGUCCAUACCGUAAACGAUGAAUGCUAAGUGUUGGAGGGUUUCCGCCCUUCAGUGCUGCAGCUAACGCAUUAAGCAUUCCGCCUGGGGAGUACGGCCGCAAGGCUGAAACUCAAAGGAAUUGACGGGGGCCCGCACAAGCGGUGGAGCAUGUGGUUUAAUUCGAAGCUACGCGAAGAACCUUACCAGGUCUUGACAUACUAUGCAAAUCUAAGAGAUUAGACGUUCCCUUCGGGGACAUGGAUACAGGUGGUGCAUGGUUGUCGUCAGCUCGUGUCGUGAGAUGUUGGGUUAAGUCCCGCAACGAGCGCAACCCUUAUUAUCAGUUGCCAGCAUUAAGUUGGGCACUCUGGUGAGACUGCCGGUGACAAACCGGAGGAAGGUGGGGAUGACGUCAAAUCAUCAUGCCCCUUAUGACCUGGGCUACACACGUGCUACAAUGGAUGGUACAACGAGUUGCGAACUCGCGAGAGUAAGCUAAUCUCUUAAAGCCAUUCUCAGUUCGGAUUGUAGGCUGCAACUCGCCUACAUGAAGUCGGAAUCGCUAGUAAUCGCGGAUCAGCAUGCCGCGGUGAAUACGUUCCCGGGCCUUGUACACACCGCCCGUCACACCAUGAGAGU
RNAcentral lists this ribosomal RNA (1376 nucleotides) under Limosilactobacillus fermentum. RNAcentral's name for it is "bacterial SSU rRNA". It matches the Rfam family "Bacterial small subunit ribosomal RNA", at positions 65 to 1411 of the family's 1533-position model. Lineage: Bacteria; Bacillati; Bacillota; Bacilli; Lactobacillales; Lactobacillaceae. The record is from RNAcentral.